Non-coding RNA from Parasteatoda tepidariorum (common house spider), 1195 nucleotides. NCBI's taxonomy places the organism in Eukaryota, Metazoa, Arthropoda, Arachnida, Araneae, Theridiidae. The record is from RefSeq and is a predicted model, not a curated record.
UAUCUAUUCCCUACUUUAUUCAGAUUCAAUUUUGAAAACAAUUGAUUCACUGUUUAAAAUAAAUAAUAAUUUAACAUUGAUAAAAUUAUCUGUCUUCAGAGGUCCAAGCCAAAUUUAUUACCGUUUAGCGGUACCUUCAACAAUUCAACUUAAAGAAAAGCGGUAGUUUCACAAAAUACUUUUUCUUAAUAUUUUAUUUUUGUGUCUCAUACGAAAUGAUAAAUCCAUACUUUUAUGUUGAUUUCUUAAUAUAUAAUUUUCACAAAUUAUGUCUAAAUUUUCACGAAACAGGUACCUCUCAGAAAAACCUAGACAGUCCCUUGGUCUUUAACAUAAACAGUGGGAAUUAAAAUAAAUAAAUAAAUUUUUUAUUGAUGUUAUCUAGAAGAUACUUGUAACAUAGAAAAUGAUGGAUAAAAUAAUUGUGAUUAAUGCUGUUGAAAGUCUUUUGAAUUUAGUCUCUGGUGUAAGAUCGUCAUUCAGAAGUGAAUGCAAUUGUCGUACAAGCAAUUUUGUUUUUCUCUCAUUUUAUUGUUAUGAUCUUCUGUUUCCCCAAUCUUUUUUGAUAGUUUGAUGUGAGCUUUUUUGUUAUUCACAAUGCACACAUCUAUAUUAUGUAAGGCAGUUAAAGAUAAAGUAUCUAACAAUUAAACUACUAUAAAACUACUUUAAAUUCUCACCUGCUAUUUUAUCAAUUGUAUGAAAGACAAAUGUUCUGAUAGCAAUACCCAUAUUCACAUUUUUAUUUAGAUUCUGUAAAGUGACUGAAAAUUUACUACAAUUUUAAUGUUAUUUAUUACCAUUUUAUUAUCCUUAUACGAGCGUAAUUUGCUGAAAAUUGUUGUAAACAUAAAUAUUUCUUUUAAAAUGUUCAUUCCAUUCUAAACAAGGUAUUUCCUAUUUAGGGCAACAAAAUGCAAUUUAUUUUUUUCUAUUAAUUGACUUUCCUUUCAGUUCAUUACUUUGGAUGAGUUAUAAGGAACAUUUGAACGUAGAAUCUGUUGAUCAUAAAGGUUUAGUUUCCAUUCAUCUGUUUGAGAGGAUGGUUAUAAUUCGAGAAUUUAUGGGAACGAAGUUCAUCAAUAUUGUAUAUUGAAAUUCAACAUUUAUGUAUGUCAAAUACUUUUGUAGAUUAUAUGUGUAAAAAAAACAUUAUUAAAGGUAUAAAUGUAUUUAAAUAAAUGUUUUCAAUUUA